This is a long non-coding RNA of Phyllostomus discolor (pale spear-nosed bat), 3479 nucleotides long. RefSeq lists it as uncharacterized. The transcript is spliced from 2 exons. Lineage: Eukaryota; Metazoa; Chordata; Mammalia; Chiroptera; Phyllostomidae. The record is from RefSeq and is a predicted model, not a curated record.
ACAACCCAGGCAUGUGCCCUGACCUGGAAUUGAACUGGCAAUCUCUCAUUUUUUUGUGGGAUGACACAUAACCAACUGAGCCACACCAGUCAGGGUUAGUAGGUGAAAGUUUAAUGAGAAGUAGGAUAUUUACACAGUCUCAAAAUAGUUAAUUAGCAAAUGUUCACUAAUUUUACAGUGAAGAAACCUGAUGGACACUUUCUCAACCAAUGAUAAAAGUUAACACUUCUGGAAAUGGGACAAAACCAAAUUGUGCACCUUCCUGUUACAAUGCACCUGGAAAAGCACAGCCCCACUUCUUCAAUCCUCCUGCCGAAAAUGUGUAACCUGGAUCUAAUCAUGAGGGGACAACAACAGAGCCAAACUGAUGGACAUUCUACAAAGUAACUGACCUGUUCUCUUCAAAAACGCCAAUGUCAUGAAACACAAAGACUAAGGAACUGUUACUGAUUAGAGGAGACUAAACAGCCAUGACAACCAAUGCAAAGUGUGAUCCUGGAUUGGCUCCUGGGCUUGUAAAGGACUUUACUAGGACCACUGGCAAAAUGUAAAGGUGGCCUAUGGAUUAGAAGAUGUAUGGUGACAAUGUUAAUAUCCUGAUUUGGGUGGGUAUACGGUGGCUUUACAGAAACAUGUCCUUGUUUUUAAGAAAUAUAUACAGAGUAUUUAGGGAUACUGUCUACAACCUAUUCUUGAAUGGUUCAGGAAAAAAAGUGUGUAUGUGUAUUGUAGAGACAAAGAGAGAGACAAAUGUGGUAGAAUGUUAACAAUUUAGGGAAAUUGGGUAAAGGGUUGGCACAGGUUUAGUGGGUACCCCAGAUACCCCAACUACACAGUUCUGGUCACACCCACCAGGGGACACCUGUUAAGACAGUGUACUUUUGAUCUGGAGGACUAGAUUGAAAGGCAUGUUGGCAGUACUUCUCUUACUUUAAAUACUAAAUGGUGUUUAAUUAUCAAUGCUGAGUGAAGAAUAGGAUACCAUAAACUCCUUGAGGUAAAGGCUAUGUCAUUUAUCUCUGAAUCCCUACCCCCACACUACAUUUAGUGUCUCAUAAGUACUCAGAUAGGACUCAAUAAAUAUAUCUUGAAUGCAGCCACUUAUAGUGAGUCAAAUAGUAUCUCUCUGCAAAAUUCAUGUGUACCAGAACCUCAGAAUGUGAACUCCUUUGGGAACAGGGUCUUUGAAGAUGCAAUUAAAGAUUGAGAUGAAAUCAUACUAGAUUAGGUUGGGAUCUAAUUCCAACAAGAGUGUCUUUACAAGAGACAGAAAAAGACAUACAGAGACACAGAGAAGGCAAUGCAAAAGAUGGAGGUAGAGAAUAGAGUGAUGUGUCUACAAGCCAAGGAAUGUUAAGGAUUGCCAGCAGUCACCAGAAGCUAGGAGACAGGCAUAGGAUGGAUUCUCAUUCAGAGCCUCUGGAAGGAACAACCCUAUACACAUCUUGAUUUUGUACUUCUGGACUCCAGAACUAUGAGACAAUUCCUAUUGUUUGAAGUCACCCAGUUUGUGGUACUUUAUUACAGUAGCCAUAGGAAAUAAAAACACUACCCAAAGAAUAUUUAAAAUGGCUUUCCAACACUAAAAUCUUACUUAACAUGCUAACUUAAUUAAGGUAAAUCAGUUUAACAUAUUCAUAUUUCAGCUAAAUGAAUACGGUAGAAUCUUAAGCCACACAUUAUGCAGGCACAGUUUAUGGCAUUAAGCUGCUCUUAUGCUUCAUGGGAACAAUGGAGACUGUCAGAGACUAACAUGAGGUGCACACUGUAUUUUAUUUCCUUAAAAAGCAAAUGAUUUACUAAAGUACUAAAAACCUACUAUACGAAUGACACAUUUUUAGAUGCUCUGACAUGUCACAAAUAAACUACAAUAAAAAUUUCUUAGAACGGGAUAAAAAUGUAAAAAUGAACAGGAUACUAAAUUGGCAUGUCUUUCUAGCUAUGAAUCAUACCACAUACACAACACAGUUACACAUAAAUCUAUCACUGAAAAUUGGGCCAUAUGAAAUUUUUAAAUGCAGUGAAGUGGGCCACCAGGCAAUCACUAGUAAAUAAGCCUAUGAAAUACUUAUGAUUAACAGCAAAAAGAGAAAAUACUUUUGGAUUAGAAUAUUGGAAAUAGUUAAAUUAUUCAGUGCCUCUGCAGAAAACAAAGUUGAUUUUAAUUUAGUCAGUGAAACAUAAAGUAAUGUUGAUGUCAGAGAAGGGGUUUCAAUGGGAACAGCAGAGCUCAUUCAUCAAGAAGGCACUUGCCCUUCCUCUGCAAUGUUUCACGUUCAAGCCCUGUGUCUAUUUAUAAUGGUUGGGCACAUGUCACUACAAUGGUUGAUUGUAUUGUGCAGCUGUUUGUGUGUAUCGAGAAGGGCAGUCAUGGACAGUCUGCACUUUGAUGUUUCCCUUUUGGAGAGAUUUAAAAUAACAUUUAAAAACUGCCAACCAGCAAGGUCACAAAAUAUUUUUGGAUGACAAGGGGAAGGAUUGCAAACUUGUGGUUCACUUCAGAUGCGGGGGUCUGAAACUCAGCCAACAAGCCUGAUUGCACAACAUCCUGCCAAUGCCAACUUCAAAAGUUACUUGCUUCAGAGGGCUCACAAACUACUUCCCAGUAAUAAAACCAUGUUUUAUAAAUUUGCAGAGGGUCUCCCUCAGAGGAAAUAUCCAAGGAAACAAGGAUUUCCCUUACCACCUUAUUUACAAUUAUAAGCACCACCACCACCAGGCCUCUCCGUUGCCCUCACCCCACAGCACCCUCAAACCCCUGCUCUAUCAUGCUGAAUUUUCUCAAAGUACUUACCAUGGACAUGCUUACUAUAUACUUUUCUAAUAUAUGCAUCAAUUUUUGACUCCCCUACUUUAUUAUAUUAUGGUCCACAAAAGCAGGGCUUUGUGUCUGCUUUGUUCAGUGGUGUAUCCACAGAACUGAGACUUUCAUCUGGCACAAAGAAUUUAUUGAGCGCAUACUUGUGGAAUUACUUAAUUUAAAUAGCAGAAACAAUAGUUCCAGGAAACACAUGGGAAUACUGAUGACCCGUAUCAGAUUCCAGAAUUCUGUCACCCUUCCCCCCACCACACACAAAGAUUUGAGUUUUAUUCACAUAUUUAUGGCAUGUAAAAAUAGAAACAGACUUAAUAAAAUACCUAACUUUCUCAACCUGUGGUAGAAUGCAAGGACUAAGAUCUCAUAGGACUCAAUUCUGAAAUAAUAUUAAUUCAAAAUGUAUCUCUGAUACUCUUCUGGUCACUGUUUGCCCAGCCAACAAACCUUGCUGGAGAUUAGAUGGGAGAAGCACCUGUGCUAAUGAAAAGUUUAGCCCUAGCUAAAUGAGAAUUAAAAAAUUAGCAAGUUACUCAAAAAAUGCUAGAUUGCAUACAACAAUUCUUGAGAUUUUAGAGAGUUUUUUUUUCAGGGUUUUACAUCAAUAUAUCAUAAAAACCUAACUAAUUAUUUUAGGUAAAUAAAAUUCAGUGAUAUACCCAUC